Molecule: long non-coding RNA, 4739 nt
Organism: Cercocebus atys (sooty mangabey)
Lineage: Eukaryota; Metazoa; Chordata; Mammalia; Primates; Cercopithecidae
Exons: 2
Source: RefSeq, a predicted model, not a curated record
AUUAUAUAGGCAGUGAUGCUCUAGAGUUCAGAUAUUGGGAAUUUCAUUUUUAAUGGUGCAGCUGUUAUUCAGAUUUUGUUUUACUUCAGUACUAAACACAAAAAUCAAAAAAACUUUCCAAAGGGAAAUAAUGUUUUGUUGUUUUUGCAAAGACAAAAGAUGAAUAGGGCACUGGCUCUGGUCUUAGACGGUGGGUCUCCGUGGAGUCACUAUAAAGAAGAUGCAAAUCCAAGACUCAUCACAUGUUUGCAUGUGAGCAAUUCAUUAAUAUCUCUCUGUUAAUUUUCUCCAUCUGCAAAAUAGCUGUAGCAAACCUUCUUUAGGGCUCAUGGAGGUUAAGGGAGACCAUUUAUGUGCAUCCAGCACAGAGCCGUAACUCACUGCUAGGUGGCUACUCUCGCCAUGGCUCACGUUCCAGCAGUGAGAACUCAGAUAAAUAGUUCAAUGAGAAAGGGCUCUGGGAACUGGGAAUGGGAAACACCAGUUCAAUAAGGGGAAGAGUCACAAGCUGUGAUGACAGAGUAGACCUUGAAGGAUGGAUGCGUGUUCAUCAGAAGACGUCAUUUCAAGCAGACAACAGUACAGGUGCCAGAUUGUGCUCAGAACACUGGAGGAGCUUAAAGAAGUAGCUAUGGCUGGACCAGAGACCCAGGUUCAUAGUAAGGGACAUCAUGUGAGCUCAGAGGUCAGGCGGAGCUGAGGCUGUGCAGAAUGUGAACUUCGGCCUGAGGAACAGGAACUGUUGGGAGGUGAGAAACAGGAGAGCUGUGAUUUGGAUUGAGCAGAGUGGUAGCCCAUCUCCAGAUGGUACCCAAUGAGAUUCACCUCUGGGCAUCUAACACCCUCUGUCUCUUUCCACAGGGAGCAGGGCUGACCUGUGUAACUCAAUAAGAUGGUGCCAAAUGUUGCAGUGUGACUUCUGAGACUAGAUCAUGGAAGACAUCAUGGCUCCACCUGUGCUCUCUUGGAUCACUUGCUUCAGGGGAAGCCAGGGGCCACAUCGUGAGGACACUCAGCUAUCCCUAUGGAAAGGCCCAUGUGGUCUGCCAUAUCGAAGUUACCCUGAACUGGGUGGCUUCAAACAACGGAAACAUAUUGUCUCAUAGUUGUGGAAGCUGGAAAUCCAAAAUCAAGGUGUUGGCAGAGCCAUGCUGCUUCUGAAACCUUCAGGGGUUGGUUGUGUGUGUGGGGUCGUUUCUUGCCUCUUGUAACUUCUGGUGUUUGUUGGCAAACAAUUUCUGGUGUGCCUUGUCUGGUAGAGGCAUCCCUGUGAUCUCUGCUCCUGUUGUCACGUGUGUGUGUGUCUUCUCCUCUUCUGACAAGGACAUGUCAUAUUGGAUUAAGGGCCCACCUACUCUAGUGUGACCUCAUCUUAAUUUACAUCUUCAUCACAUCCUCAAAGACCCUAUUUCCAAAUAAGGCCACCUUCUGAGCUACUAGGGGUUAGGAUCACAACGUAUCUUUUUAGGGGAAAACACUAUUCAACUAAUAAUAUUCUCCAAAUCCAGUGAGGCCUUCAACCAGCUGCAGCCUUGGCUGACAUCUUGACUGUAGCCUCCUGAGAGACCCGUUUUCCUGCCCCACAAAACUGGGUGAAUUAACAAUGUCCAUGCUUGUUUUAAGCCAUUAAGUUUUGGGGCAGUUUGUUCUGUGGGAAUAGGUAACUAACAUUCAAAGGGGGGUUAGGGAGUGAAAGACUGAAGCCAGCAGACCAGGACCUUUCUCUGGCCUGAGAAGCAACAUGGUCCCCCAAGCAGUCCUACUCACAGAUCUUCAGGCCACAUCAGCUCUUCUCUCAAAUCUAGGCCUUUGUGCACAAUACAUUUCAUACUUUUAUGCCUUUCUAUGUUGUCCUAUAUAAACCCACUUUGUUGAGAAAUUCUUCUUUGAGUGGUCAUUUCACUUGAGCAGUUCCGGGUUUCACUGAGAAUCGGAGCGACUAACUCACCGCCGGUCCUCUCUGAGCAGAUCUGCUGUGCUGGGACACCUCCAGGUGCCUCCUCCUGGUUCAAUACGCCAUGGCUGGGGGUUGGGGGCUCAGAUACCAAGCAGGGCCACCUGUGGGGAAAAGUGGCCUAGGUGGGUUUUCCUCAGCAGGGGCUCUCAACAGGCCUGUGUCUUGGGAGCGGACGUGGUGGGCUCUGGGACUUGGCAGUCUGUGAGGAGGCAUGGUUUUUUCCUCUCUAAGAACAGGGUUUUUAAAUCCAGUGUGAAUACAGCUCACUGUGCCUCUCACUUCCCGUGUGAGAAAAACCACAGAAAAGCACAGCUGCACCUACAUGAGAAACCACGCAAACCAAGCUACUUCCCCCAAGACUGGUUUAGCCAAAAAUGCAUUUGAUUUCCUGUCUCCAUGUUGUGGUCAAGAUUGCCAUUUGCUUCCUGCAUUUCAGGACCACAAUCGACGAAAGCGUAUCACAACCAUUAGUCAUAGGUGUAUUUUUUCCCUGAAAAUGAUUUAUUUUCCCAUCCUCUACUUUGUUCUGUCAGCUGGCAGCCACUUCUUUGAAUUGUAAAAAUUACUUUGUUCUACCACCAUUAUUUGCUUUUCCCCUCAUUCUACUUCACGAGCAAUUCAUUCUAAAUUGUCGGUAGAAAAUAACUCAGGGAAAGUUCGUGGUACUCUGCCCAGAAGGGCGGAAUUAGGAUCUUGCAGGUGCUUUUUAGAUGUUUACUGGGUGAAGUAGUUCUGCCAAGUCUGUAUUUAGAACUGGCCUCUCUUUCUCAGGCUUAUUUGAAUCAUCUUGGCAUAAAGCAAUGAUAUGCAUUUUUAGGGAAUUUCUGUCUCCCUGGGGUUUGAGGCAGAGAAGCAGAGUGGGCGGCGGACAGCCACAUCUGGGGCCGCUUCCGGCCUGCCAGCUCACGCCUGGUGGGAGCUGCACUGGGCGGGAAAGCGAACUCUGCCAUUUGAUGGGAGAGGUCCUGCUCCCCUUCCAGAGGGACUUCCUAGGGCGUGGGGAACCCGGGGCUUGCUCAGGAAUUUCAAGUCCUUCCUGCUUAUUCCCUGAAGACUUGACUCAUCCCAGACCUUUUCGAGGGAUCAGUGAGUCAGCAGGGGCUGGUGCUGGCUCUGCUUUUUCCCACAUGGUUUAUUCAACAUGCAUUCUACGAAUAAAAAACUGAGGCCCGAGGUCUCCCAGUGAGGGGUAGAUGGUGAGGCCAUGGAUGGAAACCCCAUCAGUCUGACCGUAGAAUCCAUGUUGUUAAUUAUCCUGCCUAAAAGCCAGAAAAGGAUCUGAAGGCCUACACCGGGGGGGAAUAGGGAGUUCGUUUCAUUUUUUUUCUUGCUUUAUAAAAUUGUGUGAUGUUUAAGCACAUACUGUUUAAAAAACUAAAAAGGGGUUCAAACUAAAUGGCCACAUUUAAGAGGCAAAUCACUGAAGACUAAUUAUCCAUUCUGCACUUAAAAAAUAAUCUGAAACAGCUACUAGGCAUGAAGUCAAAAUCCUUUUUAAAAUGGCUCUGAAAUGUUGGACACAAAUUACACAGAAACCAGUGGCCUAAAAAUGUCUUCACCAUAUUCAAUCUGGUAAUUUUGCAUCUGGAAUUCCUGACAUGGGAAGCUCCUGCUCUGUGCCUGUUGGGUGAUUGAAUACAUGCAUGACUGAAGUAGGCCACCCUUCACGCCCUUCAUGGUAGUCCUUGCAACUUAUCUCUAUGGGGUGCCAAGCAUCGCUGCUAAGCAAGGAGAUCCUCUAUAGGGCUCCGGAUCAAAUGAUACCAGCAUCAAGCCAUCCUGCACAGUCAGGCAACGUGCCCAACUCUUGCCCAAAGCUACUGUGAUUUAUUAAGGUCCCUGGAAUCCCCGGAUGAGCUGUGUUGUACAGAAAGAAUUCUAUUACUCAUACCUUCCCAUGGCUGCCCCCAUCUCAACAUUUUCCAGUCCCCACCCGCCCUUCACCCCGAAGCGCUGCACUCUCUCCAGUUAUUCCAGGUCCUGCCUACACAUUCCAUUUACUGACAGAAAAUUCCAUUACUGGCAGAUGUGAGGAACACUUCUUUUCUAUUUUUAAAAGCCGCUUUAAGGUCUACAUUUCUGACGCUGCCGGUGGCGCUAGCAUUGCCAUUUCAUCUGGAUAGAGUUCCGGUUGGCCAGAAUGGGAAACUUCCCCACAGGGGCCAUUUCUAAUCGAGCUUUUGCUUUGAGAGCUUGUUUCUUACCUCAGAAAAUGUUUAAGGCUUAUGAAAUAUUUACAUGUCCUGGGUAAGUCACUUGAUCAACAAGAUUAAAAACAACAACAACAACAACAAAAACCCAAGCCACUACCUUGUGGAUGUGUAAAAUAGAAACUGACAUUUAUUUUUGUUUUAGCUUGAGACCAAUUGCAUACUGAGAGAUUUGUUAGAGGAAGAUGUGGCUUGAAAAAGAUAAAUGUGAAUAGAAAAUAGCAGCUAAUGUCUCGAUGACUGAGGUUUAAGAGGAAGACACUGAGGGAAUCUGCCUCUCCUACUUGUUCCACAGUUCCCAGGGUGGAAUCUGGUGCCACAGAAGCGGGCUCCUGCCCUUAAGGCAGAAAGGUGGUCCCAGGGCUUGUAGCCUGUGGAAGUGCAAGGCUGUCACCAUGAUGGCCAGAGUCCGCCCCACAGACCACGUACUUUUCCUAGUCCCUCUCAUACAAGCGCCCAUAGAGAGCUGCCGUCACCAGCCCGGAGGACAGCCCACUCUUCCUCAGGAAAUAGUGGUCCUUCUCCCAGCCAAGUUGGUCAGGGACUUCUAGGGUCAUCCCCGAGGUCAGAAA